GGGGAUUUAGCUCAGUGGUAGAGCGCUUGCCUAGCAAGCGCAAGGCCCUGGCUUUAGUCCCCA
RNAcentral lists this transfer RNA (63 nucleotides) under Rattus norvegicus (Norway rat). It matches the Rfam family "tRNA". Rfam says of the family: Transfer RNA (tRNA) molecules are approximately 80 nucleotides in length. Their secondary structure includes four short double-helical elements and three loops (D, anti-codon, and T loops). Lineage: Eukaryota; Metazoa; Chordata; Mammalia; Rodentia; Muridae. The record is from Rfam by way of RNAcentral.